Molecule: long non-coding RNA, 126 nt
Organism: Ornithodoros turicata
Lineage: Eukaryota; Metazoa; Arthropoda; Arachnida; Ixodida; Argasidae
Exons: 3
Source: RefSeq, a predicted model, not a curated record
CCAGAACUCGAUACCACGUUUGGAUCGACAAGCAUCCCCGACCCACAUGAUGCUACACUUCAUACGUCGGACAUGGUGGAAAGUUCUGACGAUGAAGAUGAUGAACUCAGCAGCCCUCCAGGGUCC